UAAUCCUUUCGCGACCGCCAUUUCGCUACGUCUCCCGCCCGCUCUAAUCCCUCUCUCCCCGCUCAAGAACUAGGGUUGUUCUUCGCUUCCGAUCCUUUCUUGGAUCGAUUCGUAAUGGUGAGCGUCUAUCUCCACCACGACGGUGACAAAUUCGACUCGAAGAAACCAGGCGCCGGCCGCUCGUUUCAAGAAGGCCCUCGCGGCUACCAUGUCCGCUGCCGUUCUUCCGGCCAAGUUCGACUCGAAGCCUCCUUCCACAGCCGAAGCAGAAUUAGGGAUCUGCUCUCUUCCGAUCCUUUCGUCGUUCGAUUCGAAACGGCCAGCUUCAAACCCUUCCAUCCCUUCACGACAAUGAUGGUGAACGUCCUGUCUCCCUCCUCGCCGCCCAUCAGAAGAAAUUGGACAGCGCUUUGCCGGCGCUGACACCCGCUUGCCCGGCCGAAGCACGUUGGAGAUUCUAAACCUACAUUGGUUUCUUUUCUCUCUCUCUUUGCAGCCGGAUCGUGGUUGAUCCGAGUGCCUCUUGUAUAUGGUUCUUGGAAUGAUCGAUUGGUCAGUGAAGGGUGAUGGCUGGAGAUGGGCGAGGACGCGGCAACAUCACAAGAGGCCAAGACAGCGACCAUAGAUCUGGCCACAUGCGGUGCGCUUACUUUGGUUUCGCUGAUACGGCUAUGCUUGAAAAUCGAUUUGGGGCAGCAUGAAGAGAUGGGAUGGCUGACCGAAAGAGGACGUGGAUGUCGUGAUGGACCCCCAAUGAUCACCGUCGUCGUCGACCCGGAAGAAGUCUUCGGGCUGGUUAUGGCAUGGCGUUGAAGAGGUGGGUCAGAGUGACUCGCCUUCCAGGAGACGGUUUAAUCAUCGCAGUUGAAAUGGACGUAGGUAAAUAAUCUAAGAUUAUGAAUUCGAGAUGGAUUUGUUGCUCCCUUUGGAUUGAGAUUUGCCCUGAUCUGUAAGAUGUGACUGAGCGCAAUGGUUGUGUCCGUGGUAACUGGGAGACUCCUAGCCAAAGCAAACCAUCUGAUGCUCGAAUCUGGAGGAGUUUAGAGCUGCAGGAGAUGCUGUUGGAAUGAUGCACUGGAUGGAUCGGAGACUAGUGAGGUGACUCAAAGAGGAAGAAGAUGAAGCAGUGUGGAGGACACGAAUGUGAUGGAGGAAGCAUACUUGUCGAUAGCGCACGACAAGCAAUGGGCAGUUGGCUGUAGAAUGAGGUGAAAAAGGGCUCACAUUCGAGUGAAGAGGGCUCACGUUUGGUAUGCAGUGGGUGGUGACAAGCGGUAGCAAGAGGCAAAACAACACACGCAUUUAGGCGAAGAGAGUUUAUGAUUUUUAAUUAAAUUUUUUUAGUAGGUCAAAUUUUGUUAAAUUUGAUUGUUACAACACCUUUUAUAUUGUUACGAGAACAAAUGAUAGCAAAUAUUAUAACAUUGAUGAA
Molecule: long non-coding RNA, 1432 nt
Organism: Musa acuminata AAA Group (dessert banana)
Lineage: Eukaryota; Viridiplantae; Streptophyta; Magnoliopsida; Zingiberales; Musaceae
Exons: 4
Source: RefSeq, a predicted model, not a curated record